UAGGGAAUCUUCCACAAUGGACGAAAGUCUGAUGGAGCAACGCCGCGUGAGUGAAGAAGGGUUUCGGCUCGUAAAACUCUGUUGUUAAAGAAGAACAUAUCCGAGAGUAACUGUUCAGGUAUUGACGGUAUUUAACCAGAAAGCCACGGCUAACUACGUGCCUG
This 164-nucleotide ribosomal RNA is filed under the name uncultured bacterium. RNAcentral's name for it is "partial 16S ribosomal RNA". It matches the Rfam family "Bacterial small subunit ribosomal RNA", at positions 355 to 511 of the family's 1533-position model. The record is from RNAcentral.